CCUACGGGAGGCAGCAGUAAGGAAUAUUGGUCAAUGGACGAAAGUCUGAACCAGCCAUGCCGCGUGAAGGAUUAAGGCCCUCUGGGUUGUAAACUUCUUUUAUCUGGGACGAAAAAAGGGUAUUCUUACUCACUUGACGGUACCAGAGGAAUAAGCACCGGCUAACUCCGUGCCAGCAGCCGCGGUAAUACGGAGGGUGCAAGCGUUAUCCGGAUUUACUGGGUUUAAAGGGUGCGUAGGUGGGCUUGUAAGUCAGUGGUGAAAUCUCCGGGCUUAACCCGGAAACUGCCAUUGAUACUAUAGGUCUUGAAUUAUCUGGAGGUAAGCGGAAUAUGUCAUGUAGCGGUGAGAUGCUUAGAUAUGACAUAGAACACCAAUUGCGAAGGCAGCUUACUACGGGAUAUAUUGACACUGAGGCACGAAAGCGUGGGGAUCAAACAGGAUUAGAUACCCUGGUAGUCCACGACCUAACGAUAGAUACUACGAC
This 487-nucleotide ribosomal RNA is filed under the name uncultured bacterium. RNAcentral's name for it is "bacterial SSU rRNA". It matches the Rfam family "Bacterial small subunit ribosomal RNA", at positions 338 to 822 of the family's 1533-position model. The record is from RNAcentral.